GAUGAACGCUGGCUACAGGCUUAACACAUGCAAGUCGAGGGGAAACGACGGGGAAGCUUGCUUCCCCGGGCGUCGACCGGCGCACGGGUGAGUAACGCGUAUCCAACCUGCCUCUGACUGAGGGAUAACCCGUCGAAAGUCGGCCUAAUACCUCAUGGCAUCGUCUGCGGGCAUCCAACGACGAUUAAAGAUUUCAUCGGUCAGAGAUGGGGAUGCGUCUGAUUAGCUUGUUGGCGGGGUAACGGCCCACCAAGGCGACGAUCAGUAGGGGUUCUGAGAGGAAGGUCCCCCACAUUGGAACUGCGACACGGUCCAAACUCCUACGGGAGGCAGCAGUGAGGAAUAUUGGUCAAUGGGCGAGAGCCUGAACCAGCCAAGUAGCGUGCAGGAUGACGGCCCUAUGGGUUGUAAACUGCUUUUAGGCGGGGAUAAAGUGAGGGACGUGUCCUUCAUUGCAGGUACCGCAUGAAUAAGGACCGGCUAAUUCCGUG
RNAcentral lists this ribosomal RNA (491 nucleotides) under uncultured bacterium. RNAcentral describes it as "partial 16S ribosomal RNA". It matches the Rfam family "Bacterial small subunit ribosomal RNA", at positions 28 to 507 of the family's 1533-position model. The record is from RNAcentral.